GUUAUGGAAGAUUUGUUUGCUAUUUUUGGCAUGGGCACUUAGGUUAGAAAAGGAGACUUCCAUUCAUCAUUGCAACACACUAUUAACAUCAACAUCUUCCAUAUUCUUUCUUAAGUGUUCUUUCCCUAUUCAUGGCUUGCUAAACACUUAGUUUCACAAAAUAAGGCAAUCACUUGCUAAAAUGAGAACAACUAGGCGAUUGACUUGAAAAUGUUUAGAUGAUUUUAACUUGAGGUGAACAGGAAAGCCACUACGGGAACUCGCAAGGAGUAGCCGUAGAUAGCCCCCGACAUUCAGCUGUUUACUCUUUGCAUUGUGAAAUGGCCGUGGAUAGCCCCCUACAUUCAGCUGUUUACUCUUCGCAUUGUGAAAUGGUCGUGGAUAGCCUCCAUCGAUUGCAUCAAAUUGCAUGGCAGAUUGUUGACAAUUGCAUGACAAUUAAAUGGCAGCCAUUAAUAUUGACUAACAAUGUAAUAAAUAGGAGGAG
This is a long non-coding RNA of Gossypium arboreum, 487 nucleotides long. RefSeq lists it as uncharacterized. The record is from RefSeq and is a predicted model, not a curated record. The transcript is spliced from 2 exons. Lineage: Eukaryota; Viridiplantae; Streptophyta; Magnoliopsida; Malvales; Malvaceae.